This 761-nucleotide ribosomal RNA is filed under the name uncultured bacterium. RNAcentral describes it as "bacterial SSU rRNA". It matches the Rfam family "Bacterial small subunit ribosomal RNA", at positions 28 to 776 of the family's 1533-position model. The record is from RNAcentral.
GAUGAACGCUAGCUACAGGUCUUAACACAUGCAAGUCGAGGGGCAGCAUUUUAGUUUGCUUGCAAACUAAAGAUGGCGACCGGCGCACGGGUGAGUAACACGUAUCCAACCUGCCGAUAACUCGGGGAUAGCCUUUCGAAAGAAAGAUUAAUAUCCGAUAGUAUAUUAAAACCGCAUGGUUUUACUAUUAAAGAAUUUCGGUUAUCGAUGGGGAUGCGUUCCAUUAGUUUGUUGGCGGGGUAACGGCCCACCAAGACUACGAUGGAUAGGGGUUCUGAGAGGAAGGUCCCCCACAUUGGAACUGAGACACGGUCCAAACUCCUACGGGAGGCAGCAGUGAGGAAUAUUGGUCAAUGGACGAGAGUCUGAACCAGCCAAGUAGCGUGAAGGAUGACUGCCCUAUGGGUUGUAAACUUCUUUUAUAUGGGAAUAAAGUAUUCCACGUGUGGGAUUUUGUAUGUACCAUAUGAAUAAGGAUCGGCUAACUCCGUGCCAGCAGCCGCGGUAAUACGGAGGAUCCGAGCGUUAUCCGGAUUUAUUGGGUUUAAAGGGAGCGUAGGUGGAUUGUUAAGUCAGUUGUGAAAGUUUGCGGCUCAACCGUAAAAUUGCAGUUGAAACUGGCAGUCUUGAGUACAGUAGAGGUGGGCGGAAUUCGUGGUGUAGCGGUGAAAUGCUUAGAUAUCACGAAGAACUCCGAUUGCGAAGGCAGCUCACUAGACUGCAACUGACACUGAUGCUCGAAAGUGUGGGUAUCAAACAGG